RNAcentral lists this ribosomal RNA (460 nucleotides) under uncultured bacterium. RNAcentral describes it as "partial 16S ribosomal RNA". It matches the Rfam family "Bacterial small subunit ribosomal RNA", at positions 338 to 795 of the family's 1533-position model. The record is from RNAcentral.
CCUACGGGAGGCUGCAGUGAGGAAUAUUGGUCAAUGGACGAGAGUCUGAACCAGCCAAGUAGCGUGAAGGAUGACUGCCCUAUGGGUUGUAAACUUCUUUUAUAUGGGAAUAAAAUGUUCCACGUGUGGGAUUUUGUAUGUACCAUAUGAAUAAGGAUCGGCUAACUCCGUGCCAGCAGCCGCGGUAAUACGGAGGAUCCGAGCGUUAUCCGGAUUGAUUGGGUUUAAAGGGAGCGUAGGUGGAUUGUUAAGUCAGUUGUGAAAGUUUGCGGCCCAACCGUAAAAUUGCAGUUGAAACUGGCAGUCUUGAGUACAGUAGAGGUGGGCGGAAUUCGUGGUGUAGCGGUGAAAUGCUUAGAUAUCACGAAGAACUCCGAUUGCGAAGGCAGCUCACUGGACUGCAACUGACACUGAGGCUCGAAAGUGUGGGUAUCAAACAGGAUUAGAUACCCUUGUAGUC